GUGAGGCGUGGGGUCCUCCUCCACUCCAACUGUGUGGGGAAACCUGGGUAGAACUUAAAGUUACAAAAGUCAUUGUGCAAGCCCUGCUGUCCCCACAAGGGCUUAUAGGAAGGGGUUCGGAGCUUUUCAAGGAGGCAGGGGAAAAUUAAACUCGUGUCUCUUAAUGUGUAUUUGGUGGGAGGGGAAUGCUGCCUGAAAUAAUGCAUUGCUUCGGCGGCGGUCAGAGAUCCAUGUGACGCGGGGGCACUUUAGGGACCAUUGCUGAGGGCCUGGUUAGCAUUUGGGCAGCUGAAUCCUUCCCUUGGCGAACUCCAUACGUGCCCUCGGCGACACACAGAGGACUCCCAGAGUUGAAGAAGGGGGUGGAUGUGUGUGUGCGCACUCGCCCACGUCUCGUGUUUUACUUUUCAUUUAAGUCGUAAUAAGGAGAAAUUCGAUGACCAGCAAGGCUGGAGUCCCAUCGUCUUGUUGGGGGAGAGGGGGGAGAAGAAAAAGGUGCCUGUAACUUCAGACUGUCCAAGAUAUCGCUUAGCUCCUGCGCCCGGAAGAAAAUCCAGCGCAGGUCGGGUUCCGGCGCGCGGAAGCCCUGCGAACCCCAAAUGUGUGCGCUGAGCCGAGGCCUCUAAGCGAGCCUCCCAGAGCUGUCGAAAUCUCCGCGGGGUGAAAGCUAAACUUUUGGAGUCGCUGUGUAGCCGGGUAGAGGACACGGCGGCGCGAGCCGGAAAGGCAGGUUUAAUUCGGAAAGAAGAGACUGCAGAGGAGAGGGAAGACCGUGAGUCUGCUUUCACCUAGGUUUAAAGCGAAUCAAAGACGGCUGUAAAAAGGGAAACCGGGACCAAAAACAGAUUUGGAGCCUCGAAACUCUCCAUUGAAGGUUUGGAAGAUACGUUGCUGCAGACUUGAAACCGGCUCCAAAUCCGGCCCAAACAUGGGCUGAAAAUAUGGCGCGCUAAUCUGCUGCUUCCCCUCCUCCUCAAGUUCUUUCUGACUCUUCCCACCUUUCCCAGUUUCCCUUCCAGACGUCUGCGGCUCCCCACUCCACCCCCAGGAUAGCUACUCUACAUCCCGACAAUUCCCAGCUUCUACACCCAGGAGGAGGAAUUCUGGAACCACCCAGAGCGAACUCGUGCCGGGGCGGGGUGGGGACCGGAGGAAGGUCCUGCUCCGAAUUCUCUCCAGAGCAGAAAAGAAUUCUAGAGGCUACAUGUGGGCUGCUUUCCCCCCUUCUUCCUUUUUUCCCUCGCAAACCAACAACCAAAAAGUGUUUGGUGAUGGAAAGAACACCAGUGGAAAACGGCAAAUAACAGUAUUUCCAACUCCGAGUCAGGUCCUCUUUGCACUGCUUUUUCCUGUUUCAUUGCAAUUUAUUGAUUUUAUUGUGGUUUUUUGUUUAUUUGGGGCAAGAACGGAGAUGUGAACCAGGACGAGCCAGCAGACCCCCGAGCCAGUAUCUCCUCCCUGGGCAGGGAACACCGCCUGCACCGGUGCAUACUAGGAGACCCUGGCGGAGAAUGUAAACAAACCGGGCGCCGAGCCCUUGAUCUUUAUUUAAAUAGAGGCUUGUUUAUCGGUGUCAUCCUAGGAGGAUUAAUUAGAUACAUCUCUUCACAAUUUGGUGUCUGACACUCCAUCUUAGGAAUGCCUUAUCAUAAGGUGUUAAUUGGGGCCACUCAGCCACUUACGUUUCUAUUAAACACUGUGAGGGACUUUUCACAAGUACCAGGUUCUUUUUUACUGUACGAUGCAAAAACAUACAGGACCCGAAAUAGACUAGGGCCAGAAUCUGCUAUAUCCCGGCAGUGAUUAGCACUUUGGGGCUUUCUAGAGGGCAGAAAUAGGAGAGCACUGUUUUCGAAAUUCCAUCGCAUCUCCCAAUAUUCGGUGGUUGGAUGCAGAUGUAAGGGGGCUGUUGGGGGUGUGGGGAAGGCGCUGACCAGGAUAGGGGGGCUAUGAGUCUCCCUUCCGGAAUCUAAAUCAGUCAUCCACAGUACAUAUAUCUUAAAAAGCACAUCUUCAACGCUUUUGUCCUUGGCUCCCCGGUAAAGUUCGGGGCGCCUUUGCCAAAGUGUUUUGAGUAGGCCGUUCGGAAACGCGGAGCAGGAGUUCGAGCCCCCAAGGUCACGGGUGGCGCGGGAAGAACUCGGGCCCCAGAGGGACGGAGGGGAAGGGAGACAGGACAGUCGAGGUACAAGGUCCUGGCGGCCUUAAUUGGGCGCAGAAGGGGAGGAGGUCUCGGCUGAUUGCUCGCCUCCCAGCAGCUAAUCCUCUUAGCAGCUGCAUUUCCGCGCUACACAGUUAGCAGAAUGAUCCUCCCAGCUAGACCUUUACCCCGG
RNAcentral lists this long non-coding RNA (2333 nucleotides) under Homo sapiens (human). RNAcentral's name for it is "HSALNT0052316". The record is from RNAcentral. Lineage: Eukaryota; Metazoa; Chordata; Mammalia; Primates; Hominidae.